CGGACGGGUGAGUAAUGUCUGGGAAACUGCCCGAUGGAGGGGGAUAACUACUGGAAACGGUAGCUAAUACCGCAUAACGUCGCAAGACCAAAGAGGGGGACCUUCGGGCCUCUUGCCAUCGGAUGUGCCCAGAUGGGAUUAGCUAGUAGGUGGGGUAACGGCUCACCUAGGCGACGAUCCCUAGCUGGUCUGAGAGGAUGACCAGCCACACUGGAACUGAGAUACGGUCCAG
Molecule: ribosomal RNA, 232 nt
Filed under: uncultured bacterium
Lineage: Bacteria
Description: partial 16S ribosomal RNA
Rfam family: Bacterial small subunit ribosomal RNA
Source: RNAcentral